CCUAUGGGGGGCUGCAGUGGGGAAUAUUGCACAAUGGGCGCAAGCCUGAUGCAGCCAUGCCGCGUGUGUGAAGAAGGCCUUCGGGUUGUAAAGCACUUUCAGCGGGGAGGAAGGCGUUAAGGUUAAUAACCUUGUCGGUUGACGUUACCCGCAGAAGAAGCACCGGCUAACUCCGUGCCAGCAGCCGCGGUAAUACGGAGGGUGCAAGCGUUAAUCGGAAUUACUGGGCGUAAAGCGCACGCAGGCGGUCUGUCAAGUCGGAUGUGAAAUCCCCGGGCUCAACCUGGGAACUGCAUUCGAAACUGGCAGGCUAGAGUCUUGUAGAGGGGGGUAGAAUUCCAGGUGUGGCGGUGAAAUGCGUAGAGAUCUGGAGGAAUACCGGUGGCGAAGGCGGCCCCCUGGACAAAGACUGACGCUCAGGUGCGAAAGCGUGGGGAGCAAACAGGAUUAGAUACCCGGGUAGUC
Molecule: ribosomal RNA, 465 nt
Filed under: uncultured Klebsiella sp.
Lineage: Bacteria; Pseudomonadati; Pseudomonadota; Gammaproteobacteria; Enterobacterales; Enterobacteriaceae
Description: bacterial SSU rRNA
Rfam family: Bacterial small subunit ribosomal RNA
Source: RNAcentral